GUCGGGACUCACAAUAGAGGGACUGAAUCACAUGUUAACUAUACCUAGAGGUUCAUUUCAGUUCUAUUGGACUGCCACUAUAUACUGCUAGGUAUCACUGAUGGAUUGUGAGAGCUCACUAGGAUUAUUCUGGAUCGACAAUCCUUGAUGAGUUAGAAUAAAAUUGUUCCAAUCUAUUGAAAAAAGUUUCAAUGAUAUUUUGAUAGAGAUCAU
RNAcentral lists this long non-coding RNA (213 nucleotides) under Elaeis guineensis (African oil palm). Its description in RNAcentral is "long non-coding RNA (EGUI_LNC069661)". Lineage: Eukaryota; Viridiplantae; Streptophyta; Magnoliopsida; Arecales; Arecaceae. The record is from RNAcentral.